GAGUUUGAUUCUGGCUCAGGAUGAACGCUGGCGGCGUGCUUAACACAUGCAAGUCGAACGGAACUUUAGCGAGGAAAUUUUUCGAAGUGGAAUUGCUUAAGUUUAGUGGCGGACGGGUGCGUGACACGUGGGUAACCUGCCCUGCUUUUCGGAAUAACGCCGGGAAACCGUCGCUAAUGCCGAAUAACAUGAGAAGAAGGCAUCCUUUUCUCAUCAAAGAACCUCGAAGCAGGAUGGGCCCGCGCCGGAUUAGCUGGUUGGUGAGGUAAUGGCUCACCAAGGCGACGAUCCGUAGCCGACCUGAGAGGGUGAUCGGCCACACUGGAACUGAGACACGGUCCAGACUCCUACGGGAGGCAGCAGUGGGGAAUAUUGCACAAUGGGCGAAAGCCUGAUGCAGCAACGCCGCGUGAGCGAUGAAGGCUUUCGAGUCGUAAAGCUCUGUCGCAGGGAAGACAAAGAC
Molecule: ribosomal RNA, 463 nt
Filed under: Peptostreptococcaceae bacterium canine oral taxon 086
Lineage: Bacteria; Bacillati; Bacillota; Clostridia; Peptostreptococcales; Peptostreptococcaceae
Description: bacterial SSU rRNA
Rfam family: Bacterial small subunit ribosomal RNA
Source: RNAcentral